ACGAAAAACCGCGUCCCCCCAUAGGGGUACGCGGAGCCUGUUGUUUAUACAGGCAAUGGGAGAGGAGAAACCGGAGGAAGCGCUUAUGGGGAAACGUAAGCGUUCUCCGCGG
Molecule: regulatory RNA element, 112 nt
Organism: Geomicrobium sp. JCM 19039
Lineage: Bacteria; Bacillati; Bacillota; Bacilli; Caryophanales
Rfam family: ylbH leader
About the family: This family is a putative regulatory RNA structure that is found upstream of the ylbH gene in B. subtilis and related low GC Gram-positive bacteria.
Source: Rfam